Long non-coding RNA from Ixodes scapularis (black-legged tick), 119 nucleotides. RefSeq lists it as uncharacterized. The record is from RefSeq and is a predicted model, not a curated record. The transcript is spliced from 3 exons. NCBI's taxonomy places the organism in Eukaryota, Metazoa, Arthropoda, Arachnida, Ixodida, Ixodidae.
AGGGUUGCGGGGCACCGGCGGUGCCGGGGCCACAGGCUGUACCAUCGCCAGCUGCGGCAGGCAGCAAUGUAUUUAUUGGGGAAGUCCCAGGAACCAGUGGCACCGCUCAGAGCCAGCCG